This 642-nucleotide ribosomal RNA is filed under the name uncultured beta proteobacterium. RNAcentral's name for it is "bacterial SSU rRNA". It matches the Rfam family "Bacterial small subunit ribosomal RNA", at positions 28 to 660 of the family's 1533-position model. Lineage: Bacteria; Pseudomonadati; Pseudomonadota; Betaproteobacteria. The record is from RNAcentral.
AUUGAACGCUGGCGGCAUGCUUUACACAUGCAAGUCGAACGCGAAAGCGGGGGCAACCCUGUGAGUAGAGUGGCGAACGGGUGAGUAAUGCAUCGGAACGUACCCAUGCUGUGGGGGACAACCAGUCGAAAGAUUGGCUAAUACCGCAUACGCUGGAGACAGGAAAGGGGGCGCCCCGUAAGGGGGCUCUCGCGGUUGGAGCGGCCGAUGCCGGAUUAGCUAGUUGGUGGGGUAAAGGCCCACCAAGGCGACGAUCCGUAGCUGGUCUGAGAGGAUGAUCAGCCACACUGGGACUGAGACACGGCCCAGACUCCUACGGGAGGCAGCAGUGGGGAAUUUUGGACAAUGGGGGCAACCCUGAUCCAGCCAUGCCGCGUGAGGGAAGAAGGCCUUCGGGUUGUAAACCUCUUUCGGGCGGGACGAAAUCGCAUCCUCUAACACGGGGUGUGGAUGACGGUACCGCAGGAAGAAGCACCGGCUAACUACGUGCCAGCAGCCGCGGUAAUACGUAGGGUGCGAGCGUUAAUCGGAAUUACUGGGCGUAAAGCGUGCGCAGGCGGCGCGCUAAGCCAGACGUGAAAUCCCCGGGCUUAACCUGGGAAUGGCGUUUGGGACUGGCGUGCUGGAGUGUGGCAGAGGGGG